UAUUAUUUAAUGAAGGGUGAUAUAGCUGAUAUGGGUUUCAUUUUUUAUCAUCUCAACUGGUAAGGACCUGCGAGGCAAAGAGAUUGGGGUUGCCCCCGGUGACAAGCUCUGAAGCUCGAGAGGAUGGCAUUAUGGUAGACAAAGAAUAUUUGAGAGAGGAGAAAGAAGAGUCCAAAGAGAAUGAAAAAGAAGAAUUGAGGAAUAAGGAACUCAUUCCUUCCUGGCCCUAUUUACCAGAAGGCAUAUUUAUUAUAACUUCGACUUUAUAUGAAAAAGUCUAAUAGCUGAUAAGAAAAAUACUUAUAUCAGCAUUCAUAUAUUAAUUAUUUCAAUUAUAUAUGCACCUCAAUUGAUUCUGAAUGUAUUAAGUUUAUUAUUAGAUAAAAUUAUGUUAGAUGCACCUAGAAUAUAGUUAUCAAUGAGUUUUAAUAAAAUGUUG
Molecule: unclassified non-coding RNA, 439 nt
Filed under: Hevea brasiliensis (rubber tree)
Lineage: Eukaryota; Viridiplantae; Streptophyta; Magnoliopsida; Malpighiales; Euphorbiaceae
Source: RNAcentral